This 483-nucleotide ribosomal RNA is filed under the name uncultured bacterium. RNAcentral describes it as "partial 16S ribosomal RNA". It matches the Rfam family "Bacterial small subunit ribosomal RNA", at positions 28 to 507 of the family's 1533-position model. The record is from RNAcentral.
GACGAACGCUGGCGGCGUGCUUAACACAUGCAAGUCGAACGCUGAAGCUCAGCUUUUGUUGGGUGGAUGAGUGGCGAACGGGUGAGUAACACGUGAGUAACCUGCCUCCUUCUUUGGGAUAACGCCCGGAAACGGGUGCUAAUACUGGAUAUUCACUGGUCUUCGCAUGGGGGUUGGUGGAAAGGGUUUUUCUGGUGGGGGAUGGGCUCGCGGCCUAUCAGCUUGUUGGUGGGGUGAUGGCCUACCAAGGCUUUGACGGGUAGCCGGCCUGAGAGGGUGACCGGUCACAUUGGGACGGAGAUACGGCCCAGGGUCGUACGGGAGGCAGCAGUGGGGAAAAUUGGACAAUGGGCGCAAGCCUGAUGCAGCGACGCUGCGUGAGGGAUGGAGGCCGUCGGGUUGUGAAACUCUUUCGCUCAUGGUCAAGCCGCAACAAUGGUUGUGGUGAGGGUAGUGGGUAAAGAAGCGCCGGCUAACUACGUG